Molecule: ribosomal RNA, 497 nt
Filed under: uncultured bacterium
Lineage: Bacteria
Description: partial 16S ribosomal RNA
Rfam family: Bacterial small subunit ribosomal RNA
Source: RNAcentral
GAUGAACGCUGGCGGCGUGCCUAAUACAUGCAAGUCGAGCGAACGGACGAGAAGCUUGCUUUUCUGAUGUUAGCGGCGGACGGGUGAGUAACACGUGGAUAACCUACCUAUAAGACUGGGAUAACUUCGGGAAACCGGAGCUAAUACCGGAUAAUAUUUUGAACCGCAUGGUUCAAAAGUGAAAGACGGUCUUGCUGUCACUUAUAGAUGGAUCCGCGCUGCAUUAGCUAGUUGGUAAGGUAACGGCUUACCAAGGCAACGAUGCAUAGCCGACCUGAGAGGGUGAACGGCCACCCUGGAACUGAGACACGGUCCAGACUCCUACGGGAGGCCGCAGUAGGGAAUCUUCCGCAAUGGGCGAAAGCCUGACGGUGCAACGCCGGUUGAUUGAUGAAGGUCUUAGGAUCGUAAAACUCUGUUAUUAGGGGAGAACAUAUGUGUAAGUAACUGUGCACAUCUUGACGGUACCUAAUCAGAAAGCCACGGCUAACUACGUG